RNAcentral lists this ribosomal RNA (454 nucleotides) under uncultured bacterium. Its description in RNAcentral is "bacterial SSU rRNA". It matches the Rfam family "Bacterial small subunit ribosomal RNA", at positions 340 to 786 of the family's 1533-position model. The record is from RNAcentral.
UACGGGAGGCAGCAGUGGGGAAUAUUGCACAAUGGGCGAAAGCCUGAUGCAGCUAUGCCGCGUGUAUGAAGAAGGCCUUAGGGUUGUAAAGUACUUUCAUCGGGGAGGAAAAACAAAACUAAUAAUUUUAUUUCUUGACGUUACCCGAAAAAGAAGCACCGGCUAACUCCGUGCCAGCAGCCGCGGUAAUACGGAGGGUGCUAGCGUUAAUCAGAAUUACUGGGCGUAAAGAGCACGUAGGUGGUUUUUUUAAAGUCAGAUGUGAAAUCCCUGGGCUUAACCUGGAACUGCAUUUUGAAACUGAAAUACUAGAGUAUCGUAGAGGGAGGUAGAAUUCUAGGUGUAGCGGUGAAAUGCGUAGAUAUCUGGAGGAAUACCUGUGGCGAAAGCGGCCUCCUAAACGAAUACUGACACUGAGGUGCGAAAGCGUGGGGAGCAAACAGGAUUAGAUACC